AGUUGGGCACUCUAAGUUGACUGCCGGUGACAAACCGGAGGAAGGUGGGGAUGACGUCAAAUCAUCAUGCCCCUUAUGAUUUGGGCUACACACGUGCUACAAUGGACAAUACAAAGGGCAGCAAAACCGCGAGGUCAAGCAAAUCCCAUAAAGUUGUUCUCAGUUCGGAUUGUAGUCUGCAACUCGACUACAUGAAGCUGGAAUCGCUAGUAAUCGUAGAUCAGCAUGCUACGGUGAAUACGUUCCCGGGUCUUGUACACACCGCCCGUCACACCACGAGAGUUUGUAACACCCGAAGCCGGUGGAGUAACCAUUU
This 316-nucleotide ribosomal RNA is filed under the name Staphylococcus delphini. RNAcentral's name for it is "bacterial SSU rRNA". It matches the Rfam family "Bacterial small subunit ribosomal RNA", at positions 1129 to 1444 of the family's 1533-position model. Lineage: Bacteria; Bacillati; Bacillota; Bacilli; Caryophanales; Staphylococcaceae. The record is from RNAcentral.